AUCGCCGUGGCCCAGGAAUGGGAGUACAUGUCCCAGCCACACCUCAGGGCUCUCCUAUGAAAGAUCGCCUCAACCUCCCAAGUGUACUAGUGUUGAACAGCUGUGGAAUAACCUGUGCAGGAGAUGAAAAAGAAAUUGCUGCCUUCUGCGCUCAUGUGUCGGAACUAGAUCUUUCUGACAACAAACUCGAAGACUGGCAUGAGGUGAAGUUUUUAUAUUGCUACAUUUUGGUGAAAAGCAGCAAUAACCCUUGUGUCAUUGUUUAUGUUAUUAUAUGUUCUGCUAAAUUCUGUUCUCACUUGAUGUCUGUAUGACUUCUUGUUGUCUGUAUAUCUUAGUGUCUGUAUGUCUGUAUAUCAAGAUAAAUAAGGCCUAUAAUCCCAGUGCUAAGGAGGCUGAGGCAGGAGGAUCACUUGAGCCCGGGAAUUCGAGGCCAG
RNAcentral lists this small RNA (437 nucleotides) under Pongo abelii (Sumatran orangutan). RNAcentral describes it as "retained intron". Lineage: Eukaryota; Metazoa; Chordata; Mammalia; Primates; Hominidae. The record is from RNAcentral.